RNAcentral lists this ribosomal RNA (301 nucleotides) under uncultured bacterium. Its description in RNAcentral is "partial 16S ribosomal RNA". It matches the Rfam family "Bacterial small subunit ribosomal RNA", at positions 509 to 807 of the family's 1533-position model. The record is from RNAcentral.
CAGUCGCCACGGGAAAACGAAGGGGGCUAGCGUUGCUCGGAAUGACUGGGCGUAAAGGGCGCGUAGGCGGCACAUACAGUCAGAUGUGAAAUUCCUGGGCUUAACCUGGGGGCUGCAUUUGAUACGUAUGAGCUAGAGUGGGGAAGAGGGUUGUGGAAUUCCCAGUGUAGAGGUGAAAUUCGUAGAUAUUGGGAAGAACACCGGUGGCGAAGGCGGCAACCUGGUCCUUGACUGACGCUGAGACGCGAAAGCGUGGGGAGCAAACAGGAUUAGAUACCCCCGUAGUCCCUGUCUCUUAUAC